CGCGACCCCAGGUCAAGCGGGGCUACCCGCUGAGUUUAAGCAUAUCAAUAA
RNAcentral lists this ribosomal RNA (51 nucleotides) under Myrtus communis. Its description in RNAcentral is "partial 28S ribosomal RNA". Lineage: Eukaryota; Viridiplantae; Streptophyta; Magnoliopsida; Myrtales; Myrtaceae. The record is from RNAcentral. RNAcentral also lists the same sequence under 1 other name.